GAAGUGCUUGCACUUCUGACGUUAGCGGCGAACGGGUGAGUAACACGUAAGGAAUCUACCUAUAAGCGGGGGAUAACAUUCGGAAACGGGUGCUAAUACCGCAUAAUAUCUUCUUCCGCAUGGAAGAAGAUUGAAAGACGGCUCUGCUGUCACUUAUAGAUGACCUUGCGGUGCAUUAGUUAGUUGGUGGGGUAACGGCCUACCAAGACGAUGAUGCAUAGCCGACCUGAGAGGGUGAUCGGCCACAUUGGGACUGAGACACGGCCCAAACUCCUACGGGAGGCAGCAGUAGGGAAUCUUCCGCAAUGGGCGAAAGCCUGACGGAGCAAUGCCGCGUGAGUGAAGAAGGCCUUCGGGUCGUAAAACUCUGUUAUAAGAGAAGAACAAAUUGUAGAGUAACUGCUACAGUCUUGACGGUAUCUUAUCAGAAAGCCACGGCUAACUACGUGCCAGCAGCCGCGGUAAUACGUAGGUGGCAAGCGUUGUCCGGAUUUAUUGGGCGUAAAGGGAGCGCAGGUGGUUUCUUAAGUCUGAUGUGAAAGCCCACGGCUUAACCGUGGAGGGUCAUUGGAAACUGGGAAACUUGAGUACAGAAGAGGAAUGUGGAACUCCAUGUGUAGCGGUGGAAUGCGUAGAUAUAUGGAAGAACACCAGUGGCGAAGGCGACAUUCUGGUCUGUUACUGACACUGAGGCUCGAAAGCGUGGGGAGCAAACAGGAUUAGAUACCCUGGUAGUCCACGCCGUAAACGAUGAGUGCUAGGUGUUGGAGGGUUUCCGCCCUUCAGUGCCGCAGUUAACGCAUUAAGCACUCCGCCUGGGGAGUACGACCGCAAGGUUGAAACUCAAAGGAAUUGACGGGGACCCGCACAAGCGGUGGAGCAUGUGGUU
This 889-nucleotide ribosomal RNA is filed under the name Aerococcus urinaeequi. RNAcentral's name for it is "bacterial SSU rRNA". It matches the Rfam family "Bacterial small subunit ribosomal RNA", at positions 73 to 946 of the family's 1533-position model. The record is from RNAcentral. Lineage: Bacteria; Bacillati; Bacillota; Bacilli; Lactobacillales; Aerococcaceae.